GACAGCAGGGAACUAUGGUUGGAGGUGGGGGCUGAGCACCCAGAGACAGCAGGGAACUCUGGGUGGAGGUGGGGGCUAGUCGCUGAGGGACAGCUGGGAACUCUCGGUGGAGGAGCAGGUGGGAACUUGUGAGUCUCUUUGGGAGGUUAAGUCCCACCUGCUGUUGCACCCAGAGCGGGGAGAGGCCCAUGCUGCACUCCGCAGCCACCCUGACACCCUCAGAGCUCUGGCUUGGAGCAGCAUGGAAGUGGCCUGCACAGCUGAGGCUGGGAUCUCUCUCCUAGGCCCUCACAGAACACUGAAGGUGGAAGUGAGGAGGAGGGCCCCACAGGGCCUCUGUUCUCACCUUGCCUCUCCUGGGUCUGUGCUGACCUCAGAGCUGUAAGGAAUAGCUGCCCGUGGGUGGAAUGGCCGGAGGACAUCCUUAUGAAGGUGGCCAGUGAGUGAAACUUCAGGGAUAGGCAGAGCCCACCCCAGAGGCCAGGCCCUUCCAGUGUGGCUUGAGCUGCUGCUCAGAGGAGGGGUGUGCACGGGGCCGACUAACCAGACUUGAGGAUGGGGUGUCCUGGCAAUCAGGUGGAAAGGCGAGAACCCGAAGCCAGACUGCAGAGUGUGGAGGGUGGGCACUGGCAUCCCUGAGGGAGUUCUUGAGUAGAGGGACAGCAGGGCUUUAGGUGGACACCUCAGGAGACCUAUGGGUCUCAAGGCUGAAGGCACAAGUGGACCAAGGACAGAGGCAUUGGUCUUUCCCAUUAUCCCAAGUGGGGCUGAGGGACAAGGGUAGACUUGGGUGCAGGCCAGUGGGAUGGCCAGACAGAUGGCCAGGAGCGAGGGCAGAAGAAGGGAGGACACUUCCCUCCGCAGCAUGUCGAAUUGAGGAGGAAACUGGAGAGGACAAGAAUUGGGCACUACAGGACUUAGCCGCAGAUGACUGGGAGGAUCCAAGAGCCACACAAAUGGCGGUGGGACACACAAGGACAGGUUGUCGUGAGAGGUAGGACCUCAGCGUGGACACCAUGCAGCUCACCAUCUUUCCUGGGGACCAAGACGUGGGUCACACUGACCUCAAGAACAGUAGAGGUCUGUCCCUCCACUCCCUCGACACCUGCAAGGCUGCUGAGCGCGUAGGGGGGCCUGGCCCAUCCCCAUGAUCCUCUGUUCCCAGUGUGGACGCUGCUCUGCAGUUUCAGCUUUGUUGCUGCGACCAUCGAAGAGCCACCCUGUCCCAUGGACCCUGCGCGGCUCCUGCUGUGUGGCAGCUGUGAAGACCCUCCUGGUGCACUGCCACCAGCCCCUCCUCAGCCCGGCGGACUUCUGCCUAAGAACCAGCCUCUGCCCUGCUGGCCUGAUUUACUCAGCUCAGAGCACCCUCAAGGUCCCUCCUACACAGCAUCUUCCUUCCCACAAUCUAAAUGGGUCAUGCUUUCUGUUGGUUCCUGCUUCUCUCUCCUCGGAGACCUCUCUGCUCUGCGUCUGCCCAUCAGGCCCUGGUCCUUAAAAGUCAGCAUGAUCUGGA
Ictidomys tridecemlineatus (thirteen-lined ground squirrel) is the source of this 1516-nucleotide non-coding RNA. NCBI's taxonomy places the organism in Eukaryota, Metazoa, Chordata, Mammalia, Rodentia, Sciuridae. The record is from RefSeq and is a predicted model, not a curated record.